This is a non-coding RNA of Eptesicus fuscus (big brown bat), 82 nucleotides long. Lineage: Eukaryota; Metazoa; Chordata; Mammalia; Chiroptera; Vespertilionidae. The record is from RefSeq and is marked provisional.
CUGCAUUGUGAUGGAGCAAUAGCUUCCCCAAGAGAUCUCUGUUGGUGUUGGUGGAGGUUAGGGCAUCCAAAACACUCUGACU